GGCAAGAUGGCCGAGUGGUUAAGGCGCAGCGUUCAGGUCAUUCUGAAAUCCAGAGCUCCUUGAGUUCACCGCUGUCUUCGGGCGUGGGUUCGAAUCCCACUCUUGUCA
This 108-nucleotide transfer RNA is filed under the name Pseudozyma flocculosa. It matches the Rfam family "tRNA". From Rfam's summary of the family: Transfer RNA (tRNA) molecules are approximately 80 nucleotides in length. Their secondary structure includes four short double-helical elements and three loops (D, anti-codon, and T loops). Further hydrogen bonds mediate the characteristic L-shaped molecular structure. tRNAs have two regions of fundamental functional importance: the anti-codon, which is responsible for specific mRNA codon recognition, and the 3' end, to which the tRNAs corresponding amino acid is attached (by aminoacyl-tRNA synthetases). tRNAs cope with the degeneracy of the genetic code in two manners: having more than one tRNA (with a specific anti-codon) for a particular amino acid; and 'wobble' base-pairing, i.e. permitting non-standard base-pairing at the 3rd anti-codon position. Lineage: Eukaryota; Fungi; Basidiomycota; Ustilaginomycetes; Ustilaginales; Ustilaginaceae. RNAcentral also lists the same sequence under 1 other name. The record is from Rfam by way of RNAcentral.